GAGAGAGAGAGAACUUGAAGCGCGUGGAAUGAAGCAGAGGGAAAUGUGUAAGCCCCCCGACUGGAUUGGAGCGCGUCGCUUUGUAAACAAUAAUGCCUCCCUCCGCCGUCGGCCUGUAGGUGUUACACUCGGCGGCGCAGAGCAUCUCGAUUUUACGGAGGUCGUUUCACCUUGCCGAGCUAUCCCACGAGCCCAUAGCUACCCUGCUGCUCGCAAAAAGAAAACGAUAUUUCUUCGUGGGAACUCCGACGCAAAUUACAAGAGGCGGUCACGGCAGCUACGGGGGCUGCGGGGAGGGGGGGGCUCUCUUUUGACCUAGCGGGACGCUCAAGUGCUGAUGAAACUUUGAUUCCAGCUUAGUCGCAUUUGAUUCCUCAAGCCAUUAACGCGCGGCUGGUGAUACAAGACUCCCCCGCGUCAUGCGCGGUUAAUGUUUCCCCGAGGGUUACCGGCUCGCAAGUCCGCAAGACCGGUCUCACCGACGAAAACUCGUCCUUUUGCCGACAGACACGCCGCGCCGUCGAGAGUUUCGAGAGAUAUUCCGAGAGUAGUAACGACGCGCGCAGGGCUAAUCACGCGGGUUAAGAGGGCUCAAUCAGGGAGAGAUUACUUAUUUCCAGCCGUGUAACCCCCAAACACACGCCCACGUAGGUAGCCGUCGCGUCGCGCAGAAAACCGGAGGGAACCUAUCUAUCCUUCAUCCGGUGCGGCCGUCGGCGUCGGCGUCAGCGUCAGCGUCGGCGUCGGCGUCGGCGAUGAUCGAUUCGAUUAUCCGUCGCCGAUGUUAAAAUGUUCGAAUGUUGGAGUCUCAUUCAACAGAUUCGCGGGAAAUUCGCUGGGACGAUGAUAGCAUUUGCACGGUUAUUAAUAGCGAUCUUGCGGGACGCUCGCUAACCUCCGGCCGCGCGCGCGGCCUCAUCAUUGCCUCUCAUGCGCGUAGCAUUGCGUAAUGUCGCAUUAAACGUGGGAUCUCGUGCUCCGUCGUGAAAGUAAAGCUACGCUCACAGAGCAUCGAGUGGUAUAACUACGACGGAUACGGCGACGGCGACAGCGACGACGACGAUGACGACGACGAGGUCGUGUCGUGGUUCGAUGAUCAGGCAGCUCCACCGACGACGUCGCGAUGACAACUGAAAGACCGCGUAUAUGUACGUGCGUCAAGGCGGAGCUGAAGAGGCGCCCCCCGGAGUGUGCCUACCGAAGUCGGAACACACCAGGUGUGUCAGAGAGCCUCAAACCGGGGAAAUUCUGCCGGCAGGACCUUGAAGUUGCCCAAUCGAGAAAUGUCUGCUUACAAUUUGCACGAGAGGGAUACCAACUUUUUGGAGAGAUCGUUUUCUUUCGAUCGAUGUAUCUGUAUCAUACUGACCGCUUUCCGAUAGAAAGCGCGUCUCUAGUGCAAUUUUUUCUUCGGAGCUGAGCACCACUGUUGUUACUUUCACGUCGCUGGAUGAUUCAGGCCUGAUGAAAGAACUUAUGGAAAAUAAUAAAAAUAAUAAGAAGAAGAAGAGUUUUAUCCACUGGCCCCUGUCUACCUUGAGCGGUUCUCCGUCACUCUAUCCUGUCCCUUUCGAAACAUCUUUCUGUCAAACUGCUUUACCGUUGCACAACCCUCCGCUCGCGAUUUUCUCAAUUUUAUUC
This 1641-nucleotide unclassified non-coding RNA is filed under the name Harpegnathos saltator (Jerdon's jumping ant). Its description in RNAcentral is "uncharacterized LOC105183772, transcript variant X1". The record is from RNAcentral. Lineage: Eukaryota; Metazoa; Arthropoda; Insecta; Hymenoptera; Formicidae.